This 490-nucleotide ribosomal RNA is filed under the name uncultured bacterium. RNAcentral's name for it is "partial 16S ribosomal RNA". It matches the Rfam family "Bacterial small subunit ribosomal RNA", at positions 30 to 507 of the family's 1533-position model. The record is from RNAcentral.
AUUGAACGCUGGCGGCAGGCCUAACACAUGCCAGUCGAACGGUAACAGGAAGAAGCUUGCUUCUUUGCUGACGAGUGGCGGACGGGUGAGUAAUGUCUGGGAAACUGCCUGAUGGAGGGGGAUAACUACUGGAAACGGUAGCUAAUACCGCAUAAUGUCGCAAGACCAAAGAGGGGGACCUUCGGGCCUCUUGCCAUCGGAUGUGCCCAGAUGGGAUUAGCUAGUAGGUGGGGUAACGGCUCACCUAGGCGACGAUCCCUAGCUGGUCUGAGAGGAUGACCGGCCACACUGGAACUGAGACACGGUCCAGACUCCUACGGGAGGCAGCAGUGGGGAAUAUUGCACAAUGGGCGCAAGCCUGAUGCAGCUAUGCCGCGUGUAUGAAGAAGGCCUUCGGGUUGUAAAGUACUUUCAGCGGGGAGGAAGGGAGUAAAGUUAAUACCUUUGCUCAUUGACGUUACCCGCAGAAGAAGCACCGGCUAACUCCGUG